UCUGAUUGUCCACCAGAGGUUACAAUGUCCUCUUUAUUAGUAGUUUCGGUGGGCUCUCCCAGGGGGUGUAAUGCUCUGAUUGUCCACCAGAGGUUACAAUGUCCUCUUUAUUAGUAGUUUCGGUGGGCUCUCCCGGGGGUGUAAUGCUCUGAUUGUCCACCAGAGGUUACAAUGUCCUCUUUAUUAGUAGUUUCGGUGGGCUCUCCCGGGGGUGUAAUGCUCUGAUUGUCCACCAGAGGUUACAAUGUCCUCUUUAUUAGUAGUUUCGGUGGGCUCUCCCAGGGGGUGUAAUGCUCUGAUUGUCCACCAGAGGUUACAAUGUCCUCUUUAUUAGUAGUUUCGGUGGGCUCUCCCGGGGGUGUAAUGCUCUGAUUGUCCACCAGAGGUUACAAUGUCCUCUUUAUUAGUAGUUUCGGUGGGCUCUCCCGGGGGUGUAAUGCUCUGAUUGUCCACCAGAGGUUACAAUGUCCUCUUUAUUAGUAGUUUCGGUGGGCUCUCCCAGGGGGUGUAAUGCUCUGAUUGUCCACCAGAGGUUACAAUGUCCUCUUUAUUAGUAGUUUCGGUGGGCUCUCCCGGGGGUGUAAUGCUCUGAUUGUCCACCAGAGGUUACAAUGUCCUCUUUAUUAGUAGUUUCGGUGGGCUCUCCCAGGGGGUGUAAUGCUCUGAUUGUCCACCAGAGGUUACAAUGUCCUCUUUAUUAGUAGUUUCGGUGGGCUCUCCCGGGGGUGUAAUGCUCUGAUUGUCCACCAGA
Molecule: long non-coding RNA, 751 nt
Organism: Oncorhynchus keta (chum salmon)
Lineage: Eukaryota; Metazoa; Chordata; Actinopteri; Salmoniformes; Salmonidae
Exons: 3
Source: RefSeq, a predicted model, not a curated record